Molecule: ribosomal RNA, 349 nt
Filed under: uncultured soil bacterium
Lineage: Bacteria
Description: bacterial SSU rRNA
Rfam family: Bacterial small subunit ribosomal RNA
Source: RNAcentral
AGAACGAACGCUGGCGGCAUGCCUAACACAUGCAAGUCGAACGAGACCUUCGGGUCUAGUGGCGCACGGGUGCGUAACGCGUGGGAAUCUGCCCUUGGGUACGGAAUAACAGCGAGAAAUUGCUGCUAAUACCGUAUAAUGACUUCGGUCUAAAGAUUUAUCGCCCGAGGGAUGACGCCCGCGUAGGAUUAGCUUGUUGGUAGAGGUAAAAGCUCACCGAAGGCGACGAUCCUAGCUGGUCUGAGAGGAUGAUCAGCCACACGUGGGACUGGAGACCACCGGCCCAGACCUCCGACGGGAGCAGCAGGUGGGAAUAGUGACAAGUCGGGACAAGCCUGAACUCCGAGAC